AACUUUUCCAUUGAACUUUUUUUGUCGACCCCAAAUUUUGACCUUUAAGUACUUUUUCGGGCAUUUUCGUGAUUUGGGCUAUAUUACGGACCCAAAAUUACUUGUUCAAGCAUUGUUUUCGAAUUUUUUCAUGCAUCUAAGCUCGUUAAGACUAGAUGGGGUAUCCCUACAUAGCGGGUGGGACCCACGGCGAAUGGUUCAUCAAGUCUUCAAAAAAGAAUAUAUAGGAUUGCAUAGCAUAAUGGAUGCGAUCAUACCAGCACUAAUGCACCGGAUCCCAUCAGAACUCCGCAGUUAAGCGUGCUUGGGCGAGAGUAGUACUAGGAUGGGUGACCUCCCGGGAAGUCCUCGUGUUGCAUCCCUCUUUUAUGUUUA
Molecule: ribosomal RNA, 375 nt
Filed under: Arabidopsis suecica
Lineage: Eukaryota; Viridiplantae; Streptophyta; Magnoliopsida; Brassicales; Brassicaceae
Source: RNAcentral